UACGUAGGUUCCGAGCGUUAUCCGGAUUUAUUGGGCGUAAAGCGAGCGCAGGCGGUUAUAUAAGUUUGAAGUGAAAGGCUGUGACUUAACCAUAGAAUGCUUUGGAAACUGUUUAACUUGAGUGCAGAAGGGGAGAGUGGAAUUCCAUGUGUAGCGGUGAAAUGCGUAGAUAUAUGGAGGAACACCGGUGGCGAAAGCGGCUCUCUGGUCUGUAACUGACGCUGAGGCUCGAAAGCGUGGGGAGCAAACAGG
This 252-nucleotide ribosomal RNA is filed under the name uncultured bacterium. Its description in RNAcentral is "partial 16S ribosomal RNA". It matches the Rfam family "Bacterial small subunit ribosomal RNA", at positions 524 to 776 of the family's 1533-position model. The record is from RNAcentral.